ACGACUUGAGAACACAAUUGAAGAGUGUAGGAGAAGAGUGAAGUAUAUAAGAGCACUUGGGAGUUUUUUGACUCAUUGAAAUUUAUAAUCGAUGGAAAUUCACGAAGUGAUACAGAGGAUAAACUGACUCAAAAUACAGAGACUUCAGAGACAGAGCAGCAACAAUCAUCAGAAACUGGAGAAAAUUUCGGUAAAGAAUUAUCAAAAAAGGAACCGGAUUGUUCAAAAAUAAGCCUAAAAAGAAAAAGGAAGGAGUCUAAAGAGGAUGCUGAUUUAGCUAAAGCUAUGACAGUGUUGGAUAUACCUUCAGAUAACUUUCAAAUCUUUGGAGACUAUGUAGCUUCAGAGCUCCGUUUCCUGCCUUCAGAGCAUCUUAAAAAAAAUGAAAAUUAUGAAAGAAAGAGAUGUUUUGCAGAGUUAGGUAAUCAGAACGACUCUGGUCCUUCAACACCAGUUUCUCUCCCUCUUUUAUCUUCUGCUUCCUAUGAGAGAACAAGCUCUUCACAUUCAUUGCACAUAAUGCCACCAUACAAGCAAUAAAUGUACCUAGGGCCUCCUGAAUUGCAGAACAGCACUGAGGAACAAUUCUUGCGAUCGUACAUACAGGGAUUCGAUACAAAUACAUGAGCGAAUGAUAGGAGUCACCUAAAA
Long non-coding RNA from Leptinotarsa decemlineata (Colorado potato beetle), 651 nucleotides. Lineage: Eukaryota; Metazoa; Arthropoda; Insecta; Coleoptera; Chrysomelidae. The record is from RefSeq and is a predicted model, not a curated record.